GACGAACGCUGGCGGCGUGCCUAACACAUGCAAGUCGAACGGGACCGGGGGCAACUCCGGUUCAGUGGCGGACGGGUGCGUAACACGUGAGGAACAUGACCUUCGGCGGGGGAUAGCCGGCCCAACGGCCGGGUAAUACCGCGUACGACCAUUCGGGGACAUCCCUGGAUGGUGAAAGCAGCAAUGCGCCGAUGGAGUGCCUCGCGGCCUAUCAGCUAGUUGGUGGGGUAACGGCCUACCAAGGCGACGACGGGUAGCUGGUCUGAGAGGAUGGCCAGCCACAUUGGGACUGAGACACGGCCCAGACUCCUACGGGAGGCAGCAGUGGGGAAUAUUGCGCAAUGGACGAAAGUCUGACGCAGCGACGCCGCGUGUGGGAUGACGGUCUUCGGAUUGUAAACCACUGUCGGGAGGGACGAAUACGCCGCAAGGCGGGUGACGGGUACCUCCAAAGGAAGCACCGGCUAACUCCGUGCCAGCAGCCGCGGUAAUACGGAGGGUGCGAGCGUUGUCCGGAA
RNAcentral lists this ribosomal RNA (518 nucleotides) under uncultured bacterium. RNAcentral describes it as "bacterial SSU rRNA". It matches the Rfam family "Bacterial small subunit ribosomal RNA", at positions 28 to 550 of the family's 1533-position model. The record is from RNAcentral.